GACGAACGCUGGCGACGUGCUUAACACAUGCAAGUCGAACGGGCCCGCUCUCUUUUUUGGGGGUGGGUUGAGUGGCGAACGGGUGAGUAUCACGUGAGUAACCUGCCCCCUGCUCCUGGAUAACUGCUUGAAAGGGCGGCUAAUACGGGGUGUGCCGGCUGGUCCGCAUGGGCCUGGUCGGGAUAGUUUCAUCUUCGGGUGUUUCGGUGGGGGAUGGGCUCGCGGCCUAUCAGCUUGUUGGUGGGGUGAUGGCCCACCAAGGCGGUGACGGGUAGCCGGCCUGAGAGGGUGGGCGGCCACACUGGGACUGAGACACGGCCCAGACUCCUGCGGGAGGCAGCAGUGGGGGGUAUUGCACAAUGGGCGGAAGCCUGAUGCAGCGACGUCGCGUGAGGGAUGGAGGCCUUCGGGUUGUGAACCUCUUUCUCCGGUGGUGAAGGCCCUGUCCGUUGCGGCGGGGUUGACGGUAGCCGGGUAUGAAGCGCCGGCUAACUACGUG
This 499-nucleotide ribosomal RNA is filed under the name uncultured bacterium. RNAcentral describes it as "partial 16S ribosomal RNA". It matches the Rfam family "Bacterial small subunit ribosomal RNA", at positions 28 to 507 of the family's 1533-position model. The record is from RNAcentral.